RNAcentral lists this ribosomal RNA (653 nucleotides) under uncultured bacterium. RNAcentral's name for it is "bacterial SSU rRNA". It matches the Rfam family "Bacterial small subunit ribosomal RNA", at positions 21 to 673 of the family's 1533-position model. The record is from RNAcentral.
GGCCGCGGGAAUUCCUUUCAUGCCUAACACAUGCAAGUCGAGCGGUAGAGAGAAUCUUGCUUCUCUUGAGAGCGGCGGACGGGUGAGUAAUGCCUAGGAAUCUGCCUGGUAGUGGGGGAUAACGUUCGGAAACGGACGCUAAUACCGCAUACGUCCUACGGGAGAAAGCAGGGGACCUUCGGGCCUUGCGCUAUCAGAUGAGCCUAGGUCGGAUUAGCUAGUUGGUGAGGUAAUGGCUCACCAAGGCGACGAUCCGUAACUGGUCUGAGAGGAUGAUCAGUCACACUGGAACUGAGACACGGUCCAGACUCCUACGGGAGGCAGCAGUGGGGAAUAUUGGACAAUGGGCGAAAGCCUGAUCCAGCCAUGCCGCGUGUGUGAAGAAGGUCUUCGGAUUGUAAAGCACUUUAAGUUGGGAGGAAGGGCAGUUACCUAAUACGUGAUUGUUUUGACGUUACCGACAGAAUAAGCACCGGCUAACUCUGUGCCAGCAGCCGCGGUAAUACAGAGGGUGCAAGCGUUAAUCGGAAUUACUGGGCGUAAAGCGCGCGUAGGUGGUUAGUUAAGUUGGAUGUGAAAUCCCCUGGCUCAACCUGGGAACUGCAUUCAAAACUGACUGACUAGAGUAUGGUAAAGGGUGGUGGAAUUUCCUG